RNAcentral lists this ribosomal RNA (506 nucleotides) under uncultured bacterium. RNAcentral's name for it is "partial 16S ribosomal RNA". It matches the Rfam family "Bacterial small subunit ribosomal RNA", at positions 30 to 523 of the family's 1533-position model. The record is from RNAcentral.
AUUGAACGCUGGCGGCAGGCCUAACACAUGCAAGUCGAGCGGCAGCGGAAAGUAGCUUGCUACUUUGCCGGCGAGCGGCGGACGGGUGAGUAAUGUCUGGGGAUCUGCCUGAUGGAGGGGGAUAACUACUGGAAACGGUAGCUAAUACCGCAUAACGUCGCAAGACCAAAGAGGGGGACCUUCGGGCCUCUUGCCAUCAGAUGAACCCAGAUGGGAUUAGCUAGUAGGUGGGGUAACGGCUCACCUAGGCGACGAUCCCUAGCUGGUCUGAGAGGAUGAACAGCCACACUGGAACUGAGACACGGUCCAGACUCCUACGGGAGGCAGCAGUGGGGAAUAUUGCACAAUGGGCGCAAGCCUGAUGCAGCCAUGCCGCGUGUAUGAAGAAGGCCUUCGGGUUGUAAAGUACUUUCAGCGAGGAGGAAGGCGUUAAAGUUAAUACCUUGCUGUUUUGACGUUACCGACAGAAUAAGCACCGGCUAACUUCGUGCCAGCCGCCGCGGUAA